UGAGACGAUCUGGCCCCUGGACGCAAACCGCCCCUGCGGAGGACGCGAAGACGUCAGGACGCUGAAGGGCCUCCGGCACCCGACACGCCAGUUCCCUGCAGCCUCUGCAUUUUGCUGCUGCAACGUGAACAGCCAACAGCAAUCUUGCACCUGCUAAGCUCUCUCAGGAGCCUCCCUCCACCUCGGCCUACGCCACCCUGCCUGGCUGCUUUUAAUCCUCUCCAGGCCAUUGUGACCUGUCACCAUCACACAUUCCUUUGUCCUUGUUCCCCAAUAGCCUCCCUCGCGGGCCAAGGACACCAUCUUCUUGCCAAACGCUACACCGCCCUGCCGCAGACCGGCGACGCUGCGGAGGGAUUUGUGAGCCCUGAGUCAAUUCUGCCAAGGCUGUAGGAGGAGGUGGAUAUAAAUGGAACUCGUAGAUGUGUCACAUACUGGGGUGCACCACGAGAAGCAGGCUUACUGCCAGUCACACGUCCAUCAGUUAGGUCAGGGUUGGUUGAGGCUGGAGGAUAUGCGGAGGAUGGAGUCAGCGGUGUCAAGCCACAGAGGACUUUUAGAGGCAAAAGGGUACCACGGAAGAAAUUUAAAGCAAGGCUAUGAUAAAUGAUAUUUAGGUUUUAAGAAAAGAGUUCGAGUAGUUUCCUGGGCAAGAGGUGGUGGCCUGAUGUGGGAUGUUAAUUGUUGGGAGACAGAAAAGAGGUUCCAGAUUCAAGAAUCAUGAGGGAAUUAAAUCAAUAGGACAUGGUGAGGAUUAGGUGGGGUGAGGAGAGUGUGGAUCCUGGGGCCUGAGCUUCUUGGAGAAUGGUGUUGUUGCCAUCCAAGACAGACAAUGAGGAAGAACAGGUUUGUGGGGCAAAGGCUGAGCUCAGUUUAGGACAUGCUGAGUUGGAAGUACUAAGGCACAUUGGGUGGAGGUGGCCAAAUGUGCAGAUGAUUGGCUGUGUCUGAAGUCCUGUGGAGAAGCUGGGCUGGUGGUAGAGACUGGGAAGUUCUCAGAAUAGAGGUUCGAAGCUCUAGGGAAAAAUACAGGAGACAAUAAGCCACCAUCACCUGUGGGAACUAGAAGAGCUCUAACAGUGGCACUCUCUGGACCCAGAGGGUGGAUGUUGCCCCUCCAAUGACAGCCAUCCACCUGGCCUGCCUCCGGCAGCUGUAAUGGAGAUGCUCAUACCCUCCCCAGACGGCCACAACAGGGAGCUUGCCAAGGUUUCUCUAUCACUGCGGUGGGCACUGUACAGAUGGAAUCCCACAUGUUGGGCAAAAGAUCAGGAUCCUUUUUGAUCUCCUGCACAGCAAACUCCAGAGCUGCAGCCUGUUGAUAGUUUCUGUGGAGACACUUGCAGUUUAGAGACAAUAUCAUAAUUAAGAACUUUCUUGAAAAUACAACUUGACCUCCAUGUGUCUGUGGGCUGGUUCCUUUUUAAACUUUAAGAUACCAGAAAUUAUGAGAUGUUAUCUCUUCAGACAUUAUAAAUAGUGUUUU
RNAcentral lists this long non-coding RNA (1486 nucleotides) under Equus caballus (horse). RNAcentral describes it as "lncRNA (ENSECAG00000058163.1)". The record is from RNAcentral. Lineage: Eukaryota; Metazoa; Chordata; Mammalia; Perissodactyla; Equidae.